RNAcentral lists this long non-coding RNA (1274 nucleotides) under Serinus canaria (Common canary). RNAcentral describes it as "lncRNA (ENSSCAG00000003443.1)". Lineage: Eukaryota; Metazoa; Chordata; Aves; Passeriformes; Fringillidae. The record is from RNAcentral.
ACAGCUCGGGGCAGAGCUGGGCUCUCACCUGCCCAUCCCCUCCCUGCUGGGUGCCCAAGGCCUUUUUGGAGUUUUGAGUGUCACCAACACAGGGGUGGGGAUGUGGCCCCAAAGCCCUGUCCCAAAGCAGGCUCAGCUCCCAGGCUUACCAGAGCCAGGGCUGCAAAUCCACCUUUGCAGACUCCCAACACAUGAAAUUACCAUAACCAGGACAUUUCAUGCUCCUCUCCCAUCAAGCUGUUUAGAGCAAAUUAAAUUUCUCCCUAACCAGGCUGUAACAGUUCAUGUUAGAUGUGGAUCUAAAUGUUAAUUGCAGUGACAAUAACAGGUCUGAUCCUGCCAUCCUUAUUUGAGUAAAACCUCCCACAGAAGCCAAAGGAAUUUUGCCCCGGAGAAGGCAGCUGGAUGCAGUCCCACAUUUCCAGUCUCUUGAAGAUGCCAGAAGCUCAUCACCCAGGCUGGAGCCUGGCUGCCACAGAAGCCGGCAAAGAAAGCAUUAAGGGAUGGAAGGUGAAACUCAGCACACGAGCUGUGAGAUUUACAGAGCAUCCCCCAUCCUGCCCGUGGCACAGCAGCCAAACCCUCCCUGAUGGGAGCCCAGGAACCCAGGCAGUGCCAGGGCAGCAGCUGGAGCUCACCCCAGCCUGCUCAGCGUGGCACAGACACCUCCUGAGCCACACCAGGGCUUUUGAGGAUGUGACUCAGUGGCUCAGAGACAGCUCCUCUGCUGGCCUUCCCCUGGUCCCUGCAUACAAAACACUUUGCAAAUGAAGUGUGAAGAUAAUAUGCUUUAUCAUGGGCAUUUAUUACCCGUGAUUGUGGUAUAAAUCUCCCUCCAUUCACAUACAUAUACAUAAGGUGUAUAUAAAUAUGCAGCAUCCAGCAGGACCCAGAGCCUUUUUGAUGAUGUCAAUGUAGCCCCCAUAAAGAUAGUGGGAAAUGAUUCAUAAUAUUUAUAUGACAGACAUGAUAUGAACUGUAAUAGCCUGUUGGGAAGGAGAAUAUCCAUAGGUCUCUGUCAGCCACAAAUGUGAUUUAAAUAUUAUAUAUGUGGCAACUGUAGCAUUAGUAAUAUGAUAGCUGUUAUUGAUAGUGGUCAUAAAAUGCAGUAGUUUUGCACUGAAGAAUGUGAAAAAUAAUCUAGUGGUUUUCCUAAUGGUCUUCCCAGCAAUGCACUGAAAGGAAGUGUACUUUCAAUGCCUCCUUUUUUCACUGCCUCCUCCUCUCCUCCCCCCACCUCAAAUUACCAUCACAUUCUCUCAGAUUACUGCCAG